This 3991-nucleotide long non-coding RNA is filed under the name Sus scrofa (pig). RNAcentral's name for it is "lncRNA (ENSSSCG00015076204.1)". The record is from RNAcentral. Lineage: Eukaryota; Metazoa; Chordata; Mammalia; Artiodactyla; Suidae.
ACACAGGAUUAGAGACAGCUGCGUUAGGCAAUGCGGAGCCACUGGGAGUGUCUGAGGGGUGAUGUAAGCUGAGGUGCACUCUGAGAAGAUUACUCUUAUCACUUUGGUUUAGAUGGAAUUAGUGAAAUGAAAAUGGGAGUGUCAGGGACAAUGGAGAAGAUACCAACGCAUUUACAGAGCCGGCUUUGAUCAGGAGAAUAUGGAGGAGGGGAACGUGGUAGCCAUGGAAGCGCGCUCAGCUCCGGCUACAGGAGCGCGGUUGACCGAGAGCGCCCGCUGCUGGCGCCUUGCACCCGCUGCCUCGUUCCGCUGGACGUCACUUCCCUGAGCCUGCGGUUACUGCGCAGGCGGGUGCCUGCAGGUGACUUGGCCAAGGAGUCACACUGCAGCAUGCAGAGUGUCUUCCUACGCACCCUUAUGCUUCCUCCCUCUCAUCACAGGCGUGAGACCUGCACUGGGUCUGGUGGGCUCCGCGUCUGCUCCUGGUCCCUUGAUCCUUCCCAGGCCCAAGAAAACGGAUGAGGUUUGGGAACUGGCUCACUCACUGCCUGGCUAUCAAAGAGGACCGUGACAUCUGUGCCAUUUACCAAGUAUGCAUCCCAUAUGCGAUACCAUCUAAUAGUUGCGGCAGUCUGGUGAGGGAUGUGAGCUGUGAGGAAACUGGGAGGGAAAACAAGAGUAUUUAAAUGGUUGCCCAAGGACUUGACAGCUAAUGAAUGGUACAGCAGAGGCUAAAGUGCUGUCUUCCAACUCCUAAUGCCAUACUCUUUCCAUCCGUGUAAUGAUAUUCAAGUGUUUGCCUAAACAUUUUUAAGGCAACAUAAGACUAUUACUCAAAUACAAAUUUUAUUUUAUUAUUAUUUGUAAUCAACUCUGCAAAUGUUCUAUACAGGGCUGCCACCAUAGUAAACAUACACCAUUUUAGUUAUUUAUUAUUAUUAUUUUUAAAAUUUUUGUCUUUUCAGGGCCGCACCCAUGGCAUAUGGAGGUUUCCAGGCUAGAGGUCAAAUCAGAGCUACAGCUGCCAGCCUAUGCCACCCACAGCAACACAGGAUCCAAGUUGCAUCUGCAAUCUACACCACUGCUCGUGGCAAUGCCAGAUCCUUGAUCCACCACUGAGUGAGGCCAGGUAUUGAACCCACAACCUCAUGGUUCCUAGUCGGAUUCAUUUCCGCUGCUCCACAAUGGAAACUCCAAACAUAGGCCAUUUUAUAUUCAUUUUUUUCCACGUAGCAUGAUAAUGUAAUGAUUUUUCUGUGUUGUGGCAUAGCCUUUAUAAUGAUUACUUUUCAUACAAUUGCAUUUAUUAGAAAAUAAUAAAUCUGACCAUUUCCCAUCCAUUUUCGGGGUGGGGUGGGACUGCUACUUCAAAACAUCUGGGGGUUCCCGUUGUGGCUCAGUGGUUAAGGAAUCCGACUAGGAACCAUGAGAUUGAAGGUUCGAUCCCUGGCCUUGCUCUGUGGGUUAAGGAUACUGCAUUGUUGUGAGCUGUAGUGUAGGUCACAGACGUAGCUCGGAUCCUACAUUUUUGUGGCUCUGGUGUAGGCUAGGGGUCAAAUUGAAGCUGUAGCUGCCGGCCUACGCCAUAGCCACAAGCAAUGCCAUAUCCCAGCCGCGUCUGCGAUCUACAACACAGCUGAUGGUAACGCUGGAUCCUUAACCCACUGAGCGAGGCCAGGGAUCAAUUGCGCAACCUCAUGGUUCCUAGUCGGAUUCGUUUCUGCUGUGCCACGACGGGAGCUCCUAGUCUUCGUUUUAUAGAUAAGGAAGCUGAGAUGCAGAGCACACAGUUAGCAAAAGGCAAUGCUAGGUCUUCAAGUAACAGGGCUCUUCCAAUUACAGAGCUAUCGAUAGAGAAUUGCAUGUCUUCACCUGAUGAGGUUUCCGUGCCAGGAGUUGAAACACUAGCCUUGUAAAAUAAUGCUGACUUCUCCACAUGGCCAGCCUCUCCAGCUUUCAAAAACUCUACCAGGUUCAAGAGAGCACCUCUAGCUGUCUUCUUCCAGGACCGUGAUACCUAAGCAGGGGUGGGCUGAGAGGGGAGGGGCCAGGAGGGGGGGAGAGGAGUCAGAAUUCCCUUCCUUGGAUUCCAAGAACCCUGGGUGGGGGUGGGGGGGGCAUGCAUGUGUGCCUGGAUCUGGUAGGUGCUAGGCCAGCAAGGUGGGAGGGAAGGGGCUGGAGAGAUGGAGAAUCAUUGAUCAAAGCUGACAGUCUACUGACUGUCAGGAUUGGGCUUUCUCUUUUGGCUCAUUUUUCAGAGCAUUUCUCACCAUUCCAUUUAAUUCUGAUUACAAAUUAUCCAUUCCUCAUGCACAAAGUAUAAGAAUAAAGAAAAUUUAAACCCAGGCAAUGCAAACAGAUCAAGGAAGGGCAUUUCAACUCUCAUUUCAUUCUAACUGUAGGAAGAAACAAACAGCAAUUUGACCCCCGUUUUACUUCCUAGUGGCUGAGUGGCCCCUUCACCUCAGGGAAAAGACCUGACCUGGAAACUAGGUGUGCCAAAGAACUUGAAAACCAACAGGUUCUAUGACAUGAAUAGUUUCAUUAAAAGUAUCCUCCAUAUUUACCUCAUGAGAGGCUUCCAGGAAGUUUCUCUUCCCUCCUUCAUCUGCUGCCUGGGAUGCAGAUGUGUUGACUGGAGCUCAGCAGUCAACCUGAACCAUGAGGCACACCCAAGGAGGGUGCUGCAUUGAGCUGCAAAGACCCCCAAGGACCCAUGGAGCUGCCCCACUGCCUGAACUGCUGGCCCCUGGACUUCUAUCCUGUGAGAGGGGAAUCACGGAGAAGGCCAAGUGCAACACCUUUAAGGGGCCAAUCACAGAAAGAGAGGCCCCCUCUACAGAGUAUAAGAACCCCAGCAUCUCAUGGCUGAUGGCACAAGAUUGCCCUGAAGGGUCCAUUCUGAUUCUCUGCUUUUCCAGUGCUUGCAUGUUGAAUCCGGAUUUGGCAGUAGCAGGAGCUCUUGAGAGGACCUGGUCGAGAGAGGCCUGGAAGCCCCUGGGGAGAGAGGAAAUCACACCUACAUCGUGACUGAUGAACUAGUGCAGACACCUUCCUGGAGAUAUGCUUCUCAGUCAAGGUGAAGGAGCCAUCUCUAAGUGUCCAAUAUGGAUCUGUUGUGGAAUGAUACUUUCAUAAAACACAAUUAAAAUGGAAAUUUAGAAAAGACUGGGCAUUCCUAUCAUGGCUCAGCAGUAGCAAACCCAACUAGUAUCCAUGAGGAUGCAGGUUCAAUCCCUAGCCUUGCACAGUGAGUUAAGAAUCUGGCAUUGCUGUGAGGUGCGGUGCAGUUUGCAGACUUGGCUUGGAUCUGGCAUUGGGGUGUGGCUCUAAAGAGCAAAAAAAAAAGAGAAAUUAAAAGACAUUUUUUCUAUUCUUUUUCUUUAUUAUUUGAACAUACUCAUGUACAAUAUAUCGAGAUAUGUAAAAAAAUAUAUUGAGAUACAUAUAUAUGUAUACUCAAAUGUUACACUCUUUUUAACACAGUCACCUCAAUUACUUGGAUAAAUCUCACAGUUUUAAUUAUUAGAUUGGACAGACCUAAAAUCACUCUGUCGAACUGAAAUAAAAUUUCUCAUCACAGCUGCUCUCAGGUUUUGUCCUUGCCUCCUCAAGGACUGGUGACAGUCCACAGACCAGCACUGGGUAGCAUGGACUUUUAACUCAGACCCAAAAGGAAUAUUGUGUGCAUGAUACAUAUAUUAAUAGAAGUGUUUAGUCUGGGAAGUUCCCGUCGUGGCGCAGAGGAAAUGAAUCUGACUAGAAAUCAUGAGGUUUUGGGUUUGCUCCCUGGCCUCACCUAGCGGAUCAAGGAUCGGGCAUUGCCAUGAGCUGUGGUGUAGGUCACAGAUGUGGCUCGGACCUGGUGUUGCUGUAGCUAUGGUAUAGGCCAGCAGCUACAGCUCUGAUUAGACCCCUAGAAUGGGAACCUCCAUAUGCUGCAGGUGUGGCACUAAAAACCAAAAGGAAAAAAAAAAAAAAAAAAAAAAAA